AGCCCCCUCGUCUAGAGGUAAGGACGCGAGGCUCUGGACCUCGAGACAUCGGUUCGAAUCCGAUGGGGGCUA
RNAcentral lists this transfer RNA (72 nucleotides) under Microcaldota archaeon. Its description in RNAcentral is "Candidatus Micrarchaeota archaeon (hot springs metagenome) tRNA-Gln". It matches the Rfam family "tRNA". Rfam says of the family: Transfer RNA (tRNA) molecules are approximately 80 nucleotides in length. Their secondary structure includes four short double-helical elements and three loops (D, anti-codon, and T loops). Further hydrogen bonds mediate the characteristic L-shaped molecular structure. tRNAs have two regions of fundamental functional importance: the anti-codon, which is responsible for specific mRNA codon recognition, and the 3' end, to which the tRNAs corresponding amino acid is attached (by aminoacyl-tRNA synthetases). tRNAs cope with the degeneracy of the genetic code in two manners: having more than one tRNA (with a specific anti-codon) for a particular amino acid; and 'wobble' base-pairing, i.e. permitting non-standard base-pairing at the 3rd anti-codon position. Lineage: Archaea; Nanobdellati; Microcaldota. The record is from RNAcentral.